RNAcentral lists this ribosomal RNA (250 nucleotides) under uncultured bacterium. Its description in RNAcentral is "partial 16S ribosomal RNA". It matches the Rfam family "Bacterial small subunit ribosomal RNA", at positions 524 to 773 of the family's 1533-position model. The record is from RNAcentral.
UACGAAGGUUGCUAGCGUUGUUCGGAAUCACUGGGCUUAAAGAGCACGUAGGCGGCUCCUCAAGUGCUUUGUGAAAUCCCCGGGCUCAACCCGGGAAUCGCUGAGCAUACUGUCGAGCUUGAGGCAAGUAGAGGCGCGCGGAACUCUUGGUGGAGCGGUGGAAUGCGUAGAUAUCAAGAGGAACGCCGGUGGCGAAAGCGGCGCGCUGGGCUUGUCCUGACGCUGAGGUGCGAAAGCCAGGGGAGCAAAC